AUGACACGAGAGUGACUCAUAGCAGGGAGUGACUUUCCCUGCUAGAAUAGUUACAGUUACUUAACUGCUUCAAAUUUGUAAUGAGGUGUGAGAGAGUUAUAAAUCAGCUUUCUAUUGCUAGACACAGAGAUUAUCUAUUAAGGAUAAUAAACUGAUAUUGUAAUCAAUAUUCAGAUGUUGCAUUUUAUUAUUGUAACCUAGUAGAGCUAUUGGCCUCCAUGUCGUAUCUGUGAUGAGCUACUGUCAUUUCCCUCUUAUAUUGUAACAGUGAAGAGUCUGGGCUUGCAAAGACAUUCUGGAAAGGAUUGACAUUCAAGAAGCUCUAUGGCUUCAGCAGCUGCAGAGUUCAGAGAAACAGGUGGAUCAGGCUGCUCCAUAGGAGGAUGUGCAGUGGUCUACCAGAAAACAUCACACCUACCUUUUCUUACAGCUGCCAGACUCAUCUGCAUUACUGUCACUUUCAACAACACC
Long non-coding RNA from Vidua macroura (Pin-tailed whydah), 471 nucleotides. RefSeq lists it as uncharacterized. The transcript is spliced from 3 exons. The record is from RefSeq and is a predicted model, not a curated record. Lineage: Eukaryota; Metazoa; Chordata; Aves; Passeriformes; Viduidae.